CCCGUCACAUCACGAAAGUGGGUUGUACUAGAAGCCUGCACGCCAACUCGCAAGAGGGGCAGCGGUCCAAGGUAUGACUCAUGAUUGGGGUG
Molecule: ribosomal RNA, 92 nt
Filed under: uncultured bacterium
Lineage: Bacteria
Description: partial 16S ribosomal RNA
Source: RNAcentral